AAGGGUAUAGCUCAAGUGGUAGAGCACAUGCUUAGCAUGUGUGAGGUCCUGGGUUCAAUCCCCAGUACCUCCU
This 73-nucleotide transfer RNA is filed under the name Camelus bactrianus (Bactrian camel). It matches the Rfam family "tRNA". From Rfam's summary of the family: Transfer RNA (tRNA) molecules are approximately 80 nucleotides in length. Their secondary structure includes four short double-helical elements and three loops (D, anti-codon, and T loops). The record is from Rfam by way of RNAcentral. Lineage: Eukaryota; Metazoa; Chordata; Mammalia; Artiodactyla; Camelidae. RNAcentral also lists the same sequence under 2 other names.